Molecule: ribosomal RNA, 401 nt
Filed under: uncultured bacterium
Lineage: Bacteria
Description: bacterial SSU rRNA
Rfam family: Bacterial small subunit ribosomal RNA
Source: RNAcentral
AUUGAACGCUGGCGGCGUGCCUAACACAUGCAAGUCGAGCGGUAACAGGUGUAGCAAUACAUGCUGACGAGCGGCGAACGGGUGAGUAAUGCUUCGGAAUCUACCCAAUGGUGGGGAAUAACCAGCCGAAAGGUUGGCUAAUACCGCAUACGUCCCACGGGAGAAAGCAGGGGAUCGCAAGACCUUGCGCCAAUGGAUGAGCCGAAGUCGGAUUAGCUAGUUGGAGGGUAACGGCCUACCAAGGCGACGAUCCGUAGCUGGUCUGAGAGGACGACCAGCCACACUGGGACUGAGACACGGCCCAGACUCCUACGGGAGGCAGCAGUGGGGAAUAUUGGACAAUGGGGGAAACCCUGAUCCAGCGACGCCGCGUGUGUGAAGAAGGCCUGCGGGUUGUAAAG